CCUACGGGCGGCUGCAGUAGGGAAUUUUCCACAAUGGGCGAAAGCCUGAUGGAGCAACGCCGCGUGGGUGAAGAAGGCCUUCUGAUCGUAAAACCCUGUUUUUAGAGAAGAAAGUGCGUGAGAGUAACUGUUCACGUUUCGACGGUAUCUAACCAGAAAGCCACGGCUAACUACGUGCCAGCAGCCGCGGUAAUACGUAGGUGGCAAGCGUUAUCCGGAUUUAUUGGGCGUAAAGGGAUCGCAGGCGGUCUUUUAAGUCUGAUGUGAAAGCCUUCGGCUUAACCGGGGUAGUGCAUUGGAGACUGGGAGACUUGAGUGCAGAAGCGGAGAGUGGAACUCCAUGUGUAGCGGUGAAAUGCGUAGAUAUAAGGAAGAACACCAGUGGCGAAGGCGGCUCUCUGGUCUGUAACUGACGCUGAGGUUCGAAAGCGUGGGUAGCAAACAGGAUUAGAUACCCGGGUAGUC
This 465-nucleotide ribosomal RNA is filed under the name uncultured bacterium. RNAcentral's name for it is "partial 16S ribosomal RNA". It matches the Rfam family "Bacterial small subunit ribosomal RNA", at positions 338 to 795 of the family's 1533-position model. The record is from RNAcentral.